AGUGUGGUGUGACAUGGACUCCAGUGGCGGAGGUUGGCUGGUGUUCCAGAGACGUCGUGACGGGUCAGUGGACUUCUACAGGAACUGGACUCAGUAUGAAGACGGCUUUGGUGACGUCAGCGGGGAGUUCUGGCUGGGUUUAUCAAGGCUUCACACCCUGACCAAAGGGAGACCCACCCGACUGCGUGUAGACCUCGGCGAUGUGGAUGGACAUCGUCACUACGCUGAGUACUCGACAUUCAGUGUGGACGGUCCUGAGACAAACUACACACUGACCGUGUCCGGCUACUCGGGUGACGCGGGAGACAGCAUGAGUCGUCACAACAACCAGAGGUUUUCAACGUUGACAGAGACAACGACAAGGACUCUGUCAACUGUGCCGUUGAUCGUCACGGCGCCUGGUGGUACAUAGACUGUCACGACUCUAACCUCAACGGCCGAUACAAGCCGACGAGGACCGAUAUGUGGGACGGCAUCAACUGGUAUCACACCCACAGUGACUACACGAGCUUCACCUUCAGCGAGAUGAAAGUACAACCAGUGUAACACCGCCUUGUCUCCUGUAUAAAAAGAUUUGUCAUUUCUCUCUCUCUCUCCCCUUUUUUUCGCACUUCGUAAUGAAUCACAUAUUUGUAUCUCAAUUCCGACAUCUCUAUCUUUAUCUCUCUGUCUUUCUCUUCUACAGAUGUCUACACUUUCUACACUAUUUUCUUCUCAACUAAUAUUAGGUUUCCUCAAACUCAUCACUCCCAAGCUAACAAUCGACUAAUUGAAGACGAGCCUGAAAUAUUCAGGUAGCAUCCUAUGGAACAGUUUCAUUCACACCUCUAACAAAUAGAAUCCAGUCUCCACCAGUUGCAAACACGACUUGUAUGAGUCUGUUCAAAGUGUGGGUCUGUUUCUGAGUCAGAGCUCGUUUGAGGGUAGAGUGAGGGUGCUCCUGCUACGUGAAUGAGCAGCUACGUGAUGACGAUCGUUAGCCCUAAAUGAACCUGUUUCUGUACACAACCGAGUUUGAUGGUUGUUGUCAUGCACAAGACCGUCUACUAGUAUGGGGUACGUGACAUGACGCAGAAAACAGCACCUUCCCGGGUAGAUGGUGUGAACUUGGUAUCAUGGUUACACGUGACUCAAUAAAUUCUGUGGGUUUGUACGGGGCAUCUGUUAAUCGGAUUCUGUUGAAAAGUGGUUUCAGUAUUAGUUAUAAAUCAUGGCCGACAUCGUAAUUCAGAUAACUAACUGUCCGUGUUGUCUCCCACUGAGGGUACAAGUGCGGUGACCGUUGCUGGGUCACACUACCUACACGUCACUCUGUUAAAGCAGUCUCUUGUUUCUUCGUUGGUGUCUUGGUUGCCAUGUGACGUGUGUUUGAUGCUCAUAAUCUCUCAUAAGUUGUUGUGUGGGAAAAUAUGUCCUCAGAAAUACAAAACACACGGAAACAGACACAGAAAAUGGUGAGCGAUCAGUUCCACACAACUUUAAUUGUUUAUACACGAGGACCAAACCACGUGACUGGUAUACUUUGUGUGUGUUUCCGUGUGCACAAAUGGCGCUGAUCACAGUCAAGGGUUACUACAAUACCAGGAACCCUGGGGUUAGCUGGACGAUAAGAUUUCCGAGAGACUGGCCGCCCUCCGCCCCAGCCCCCCGCAUAUGUCUCGUGCUUAGCUUCAAGAGACCUGCUGACGUCACUAAGAAAUACCAUGAGGAGAAAGACGACAAUGAAUGAGGUUCAGUUAAAGAAAAUCAUCUUUUGUGUUUUGAUGAGCAGGGUUAGAUACUUUGAGAGAAAAUAGAGGGGGCACACUGCUAAUGCUGUCGUCGUCUUGUCACAUGUUUCUUGUCUUUUUGCUUGUUGUGUCUUCACAACAUCAGCAGAAGCCUUGACCCCUGAGACCGCGAGUUGAGGCCAAUGGUGAGGUUUGUACACCCCCAUCAAGACCGGUGUGACGGCUCGUGUGUUGUAGCAGGCCCUCGCAUCCUCCUGUCCUCCCCUCAGUGUUUGGACACACUGACCAACAAGUCCGGAUGGCAGAGGCGGUGUUUAUUCAACAGACUCAGUGUCUUCAUUAGAUGUGUCAGCGACUAAACACAACAUUCUAUGCGAUGAAUUGUUUGCACAACAUUAUAUUUAGUGUCAACUUGUGAAGUGUUUACUUAUAUGAUAUUUUCAAUAUUGUGUGGUUAAUAUAAUGUCAAUGUGUGUGCUCGCACAGUCAUAACUAGUUUUGUCUUGGACCAGUGGGUCUCAUUAAUAAAUAACAACAUGUAUUAAUGUUUGUGUGUGAGAUAGAGUUCUGUAGCUGCUCUAUGUAAAGUUGUGGUAUUGUGUAAUUAUAACAACACACACACACACUCUCUCUCGCCCCCAGCGGAUACAGUGGUUGGCAAACUUGAUCUUCUAACUUUCCGCAUAUCCGUUUUUCUUUUACAAAAAUCAUCUACCUACUGCGGGCGAUGAUAUGAUUUCUCUGUUAUGAAAAUGACUGUAUUGUGUCUGUGCGUGCGUGUCUAAAUUUAAAGAGGACGACUGUGUAGUUUUUUUUU
RNAcentral lists this long non-coding RNA (2547 nucleotides) under Pomacea canaliculata. RNAcentral's name for it is "uncharacterized LOC112569168". Lineage: Eukaryota; Metazoa; Mollusca; Gastropoda; Architaenioglossa; Ampullariidae. The record is from RNAcentral.